This 2130-nucleotide long non-coding RNA is filed under the name Salmo salar (Atlantic salmon). RNAcentral describes it as "lncRNA (ENSSSAG00000113305.1)". The record is from RNAcentral. Lineage: Eukaryota; Metazoa; Chordata; Actinopteri; Salmoniformes; Salmonidae.
CACAUAGAACAGAAAUACCACUUCUUAGACGUGCUUUCUAUAACUCAUAUUUCUUUGUGAAUUUGGUCAGGUCUCACAAAAAGGUAAGAUUGUAGCUUUAAAAAUGAAAAGCUGAAACGUCUUGAGUCAAUAAGUUUUCAACCCCUUUGUCAUGGCAAGCCUAAAUAAAUUCAGGAGUAAAAAUGUGCUGAACAAGUCACAAAAUAAGUUACCUGGACUCAAUCUGUGUGCAAUAAGUGUUUAACAUUUUUUAAUGACUACCUCAUCUAUGUACAGGCAGGGAAUAAGCAAAAGACAUCAUUAGUGAGGCAGGCAAAAAGUAUCAUACACAGGAGGAGUAACUCAUGGGGGGGAAACAUAGCUCUGCAAGACGUGUGUCACAAAACAAACAAUACACCCCACAGUGAUGGUUUGCAAAGAACUGAACUAAAUAGUGUGUAAUAAUGACAUACAGGUGUGUGAACAGGUGAUUAGAAUUCAGGUGAUUGGGAUCUGGAGAGUGAGCUGCGUUCAGGGGAUCUAUGUGUUUGAGGGUGUGAGUUUGAAAGUGGGCUGGAAAGUGAGCUGCGUUCAGGGGAUCUACGUGUUUGAGGGUGUGAGUUGGAAGCAGAUGUUACAAAAUGUUGUAAAGAGUUUUUAUUUACAAUGACGAGAACAGAAAAAUUUAACUGAAUCAUUAAUUAAUUGCACAGACAGAUGUUGGUUUGUUCAUUAAUUGAAAGAUAAAGGAGCCUGUCCGUAGUUAUUUAGUAUUUCCUGCCUAAUAACUUUUGCAUGUACACACGUGGUACCAGUCACCCUUCUCUCUAAUUAGUAAGAACACCACUGUCUCUCUCUCACCUGAAGAGACUGUGAAGCUGAUCUUCACAGAGCACAAAUGUGCAGCCUUGAAAGUUGCUCUCCAGUCUGUAGCCAUCCAGGGGCAGUGAAAGGAAUGGUGGUGUCUCCUUAUGGUGAACUAUGUGUCGCGUUGUGAUUGGAGGCAGCUGGUAAGACAAGAGGCUCCCCACCUGUACCUUUCCAAAGUGGGAGUCGACUAAAAUCUUUUCAGCAGGUAGAGGGUCAAAGUUCUUGUAUGCCUCUUCUAUCUGGAGAACUGAGAGGUCAGGGAGCGUUCUGCAAAGCAGCCGCUGUGGUUAGCCAAUCUGAACAAUGUACUUGAAGCCACUUGAAAUUAAAUCAUUUUAUAUAGUCAAAGUGUAAUAGGAUAUGACCAGCUACUACCUACUGUCAAGUCCUCCUCUUGUUCACCAUCCAAAGGACACAGGGACAACUCAAUUUUCCAACUCAAUCUUUUUUAUUUUUAGUUUGCCUUCAGUUGGUUGGUCUGUCCAGUAAAUUAGCCAGUAAAUAGCCAGUAAAUUAGGUUGUAAACCUUUAAAGACAGAACAAAAAGUUACCAUCUUAAUUAAACAUUUUAAUGAACUUAAAUUAGUUUAAAUAUUUAAAUAACAUUCUAAAUAACUAAGAUGAAUUAACCAUUUAAGCCUUUUACCAUUGGCGUCUUUGGACUGAACCUGUGAGUGAACUUGGAGUUUCCCUCUGAAGUUUGUUCUUCUGAAUGACUGAUGCCCUCCAUGCCUUCACAGGUGCUCCAAAUAAGUGAAAAUUAUUGAUCAGGUGACAAGCAGCCGGUUUGCUGCUGCACUCUGGGAAGUGUAGUUCUUUGACUCACUCCUGAUAUUCAGCUCAACACCUACUAUACUGGCUAUUAGGGAAUACUCACCUGAUCCCUCCUUCUGCCAUGCGCUUUUGGGUGGGCUUGGUGAUGGUCAUUUUGCCUAUGGGCCCAGGUUGCAGACCCUGUAAAAAGACAGUACAAGGGCACUAUUCUAAAUCUAAUCAUGAGAUGAUUUAAGUUUUCAUGAAAUCAUUUAUUAGCAUUAUGAUGUGAUUAUAACCAUAUGAUGUUGAUAUGUGUUCAAGAUGGCGUAGCAGUCAGACGUCUUUGUCCUUCGUCUUGUCGUGUCCCAUGUAUAUAUCUUUUUAGAUCUUUUUCUUCGCAUAUCUUUUUAAUAUUUUCCUAAACCUCAACUUCCAAAUACUCUCCUGCAACCCGCCUCACCCAAUGUGGUGUGGAUCUGCUUUUUUCUAAAGUAUUUUAUCUUUACCUCUGAAUCGGAAUCCCCC